RNAcentral lists this transfer RNA (74 nucleotides) under Streptomyces phage Beuffert. RNAcentral describes it as "tRNA-Ile". It matches the Rfam family "tRNA". From Rfam's summary of the family: Transfer RNA (tRNA) molecules are approximately 80 nucleotides in length. The record is from RNAcentral. Lineage: Duplodnaviria; Heunggongvirae; Uroviricota; Caudoviricetes; Stanwilliamsviridae.
CCCCGGUUAGCUUAACUGGCAAAGCGGCGUACUUAUACUACGUAUUUAUGAGUUCGAAUCUCAUACUGGGGACC